CCAGGAUUAAAAACAAAACAUAUACGCCCCAAUAAAAAUUAAAGACAAACCAAACAGACUUUACUGUAGCUAGGUAUAUCUGGUCUGUGUAAUCUGCUGGCUUGAUACAAAGAUACUAAUCGAUUUAUACCUGGAUGAUUACAUUUUCCUUGUCUGUAAGGUGAACUGCAAGCUUGCGUAGCCUUCCAUUUAAGUUGGAGAUAUAUGUUCGCAGCGGCAAUACCUUGUUUCAUUUAUACUGCAGUAGUGAAAUAGCUUGCCUUUUCACUAUACACUAUCAUGCUCCUCAUGGAAGUACUCUUACUUCCACCAGUUAAGUAUAUAACACUGAAUUUGACUAUCUGAUAGUUAACCUACAAAAUACAAGUGAUGCUAAUAGCUCUUGUUGAUAUGAACACAACAUAGUUAAACCGAAACAUACCAUCUUUGUGCGGGAUAUAAGGAACAUAGCAGCUCAGUUUGUCACUACUGUCAUCUGUGAUAUUAUGUUGGCAAGUUGCCAAUAAAAAUAGUAAUACACUGUAAUAAGGGAAAAGCAGGGUUGGGAAAUAUGGCAAGCAGUGUGUUCAAAUAAUCAAAAUCACAGUUUAACGUAUCUAACAAGUUUAUGGAAAAUCAAAUUGGAAAAUAUAUUAACACUUAACUUCUAAUGUUCAACAUUCACGCAACACAAUAGUCGGUAGCAAUCAGCAAAACAUCUCAAUCAAACAAGAUCUAGCUAUUGCAUCCAUUGCUCGAGGCACUACAUAACUCUAAAUUAAUAAUAAUAAUAUAAGGGCUCGCCACUUUGGCCAGGUCGGAGACGAACCUGGGGAUCCAUGU
This 822-nucleotide long non-coding RNA is filed under the name Oryza brachyantha (malo sina). RNAcentral describes it as "long non-coding RNA (OBRA_LNC000186)". Lineage: Eukaryota; Viridiplantae; Streptophyta; Magnoliopsida; Poales; Poaceae. The record is from RNAcentral.